AUACGUAGGGGGCGAGCGUUGUCCGGAAUGAUUGGGCGUAAAGGGCGCGUAGGCGGCCCGGUAAGUCUGGAGUGAAAGUCCUGUUUUUAAGAUGGGAAUUGCUUUGGAUACUGUCGGGCUUGAGUGCAGGAGAGGUAAGUGGAAUUCCCAGUGUAGCGGUGAAAUGCGUAGAGAUUGGGAGGAACACCAGUGGCGAAGGCGGCUUACUGGACUGUAACUGACGCUGAGGCGCGAAAGUGUGGGGAGCAAACAGGAUUAGAUACCCUGGUAGUCCACACUGUAAACGAUGAAUGCUAGGUGUAGGGGGUAUCGACCCCUUCUGUGCCGCAGUCAACACAAUAAGCAUUCCGCCUGGGGAGUACGGCCUUAAGGUUGAAACUCAAAUGAAUUGACGGGG
This 397-nucleotide ribosomal RNA is filed under the name uncultured bacterium. Its description in RNAcentral is "partial 16S ribosomal RNA". It matches the Rfam family "Bacterial small subunit ribosomal RNA", at positions 523 to 918 of the family's 1533-position model. The record is from RNAcentral.